GAUGAAGAACGUAGCGAAAUGCGAUACUUGGUGUGAAUUGCAGAAUCCCGUGAACCAUCGAGUCUUUGAACGCAAGUUGCGCCUCAAGCCAUUAGGUUGAGGGCACGUCUGCCUGGGCGUCACAUAUCGUUGCCUGAUGCCAGUUUCCUCGUGAUGGGUGACUGUGCAGGGCGAAUGAUGGCUUCCCGUGAGCAUUGUUGCCUCAUGGUUGGUUGAAAAUUGAGUCCUUGGUAGGGAGCGCCGUGAUAGAUGGUGGUUGAGUGACGAACGAGACCCAAUCAUGUGAGACCCCUACCGAAGUUGGCCUUCAUGACCCACAUGCGUCUUUGGAACGCUCAUGACGAGACCUCAGGUCAGGCGGGGCUACCCGCUGAGUUUAAGCAUACAAUAAGCGGAGGA
RNAcentral lists this unclassified non-coding RNA (399 nucleotides) under soil metagenome. RNAcentral describes it as "partial contains 5.8S ribosomal RNA, internal transcribed spacer 2, and large subunit ribosomal RNA". The stretch from base 1 to 122 matches the Rfam family "5.8S ribosomal RNA", at positions 35 to 154 of the family's 154-position model. The record is from RNAcentral.